GGGCCUGUAGCUCAGUUGGUUAGAGCCGUCGACUCAUAAUCGAUUGGUCGUAGGUUCGAGUCCUACCAGGCCCA
This 74-nucleotide transfer RNA is filed under the name Candidatus Thiomargarita nelsonii. It matches the Rfam family "tRNA". Rfam says of the family: Transfer RNA (tRNA) molecules are approximately 80 nucleotides in length. Lineage: Bacteria; Pseudomonadati; Pseudomonadota; Gammaproteobacteria; Thiotrichales; Thiotrichaceae. The record is from Rfam by way of RNAcentral.